Molecule: non-coding RNA, 107 nt
Organism: Gossypium raimondii (Peruvian cotton)
Lineage: Eukaryota; Viridiplantae; Streptophyta; Magnoliopsida; Malvales; Malvaceae
Source: Rfam
AUUCCAUGAUAAGGGCACUUCCAUAAUAAUUCGUUGUACCUUUCUCAUGCCUCAUACAAUGACUCAUCAUCCAUUUGUUGGAAAGCAGUGAUCUCAUUCCUGAACUU